GACGAACGCUGGCGGCGUUCUUAACACAUGCAAGUCGAACGGAAAGGCCCUGCUUUUGUGGGGCGCUCGAGUGGCGAACGGGUGAGUAACACGUGAGUAACCUGCCCUUGACUUUGGGAUAACUUCAGGAAACUGGGGCUAAUACCGGAUAGGAGCUCCUGCUGCAUGGUGGGGGUUGGAAAGUUUCGGCGGUUGGGGAUGGACUCGCGGCUUAUCAGCUUGUUGGUGUGGUAGUGGCUUACCAAGGCUUUGACGGGUAGCCGGCCUGAGAGGGUGACCGGCCACAUUGGGACUGAGAUACGGCCCAGACUCCUACGGGAGGCAGCAGUGGGGAGUAUUGCACAAUGGGCGGAAGCCUGAUGCAGCAACGCCGCGUGCGGGAUGACGGCCUUCGGGUUGUAAACCGCUUUCGCCUGUGACGAAGCGUGAGUGACGGUAAUGGGUAAAGAAGCACCGGCUAACUACGUG
RNAcentral lists this ribosomal RNA (468 nucleotides) under uncultured bacterium. RNAcentral describes it as "partial 16S ribosomal RNA". It matches the Rfam family "Bacterial small subunit ribosomal RNA", at positions 28 to 507 of the family's 1533-position model. The record is from RNAcentral.